This 846-nucleotide ribosomal RNA is filed under the name uncultured bacterium. Its description in RNAcentral is "bacterial SSU rRNA". It matches the Rfam family "Bacterial small subunit ribosomal RNA", at positions 51 to 890 of the family's 1533-position model. The record is from RNAcentral.
ACACAUGCAAGUCGAGGGGCAGCAUCAUCAAAGCUUGCUUUGAUGGAUGGCGACCGGCGCACGGGUGAGUAACACGUAUCCAACCUGCCGACAACACUGGGAUAGCCUUUCGAAAGGAAGAUUAAUACCGGAUGGUAUAGUUUUCCCGCAUGGGAUGAUUAUUAAAGAAUUUCGGUUGUCGAUGGGGAUGCGUUCCAUUAGGCAGUUGGCGGGGUAACGGCCCACCAAACCUACGAUGGAUAGGGGUUCUGAGAGGAAGGUCCCCCACAUUGGAACUGAGACACGGUCCAAACUCCUACGGGAGGCAGCAGUGAGGAAUAUUGGUCAAUGGACGAGAGUCUGAACCAGCCAAGUAGCGUGAAGGAUGACUGCCCUAUGGGUUGUAAACUUCUUUUAUACGGGAAUAAAGUGAGCCACGUGUGGCUUUUUGUAUGUACCGUAUGAAUAAGGAUCGGCUAACUCCGUGCCAGCAGCCGCGGUAAUACGGAGGAUCCGAGCGUUAUCCGGAUUUAUUGGGUUUAAAGGGAGCGUAGGCGGGUUGUUAAGUCAGUUGUGAAAGUUUGCGGCUCAACCGUAAAAUUGCAGUUGAUACUGGCGACCUUGAGUGCAACAGAGGUAGGCGGAAUUCGUGGUGUAGCGGUGAAAUGCUUAGAUAUCACGAAGAACUCCGAUUGCGAAGGCAGCUUACUGGAUUGUAACUGACGCUGAUGCUCGAAAGUGUGGGUAUCAAACAGGAUUAGAUACCCUGGUAGUCCACACAGUAAACGAUGAAUACUCGCUGUUGGCGAUAUACAGUCAGCGGCCAAGCGAAAGCAUUAAGUAUUCCACCUGGGGAGUACGCCGGCA